RNAcentral lists this unclassified non-coding RNA (378 nucleotides) under uncultured Paenibacillaceae bacterium. RNAcentral's name for it is "contains 16S-23S intergenic spacer region". The record is from RNAcentral. Lineage: Bacteria; Bacillati; Bacillota; Bacilli; Caryophanales; Paenibacillaceae.
UCCGGUUUGUCACCGGCAGUCACCUUCGAGUUCCCACCAAAUGUGCUGGCAACGAAGAUCAAGGGUUGCGCUCGUUGCGGGACUUAACCCAACAUCUCACGACACGAGCUGACGACAACCAUGCACCACCUGUCUCCCCUGGCCCGAAGGCACCCGCCAUCUCUGGCGGUGUCAGGGGGAUGUCAAGACCUGGUAAGGUUCUUCGCGUUGCUUCGAAUUAAACCACAUGCUCCACUGCUUGUGCGGGUCCCCGUCAAUUCCUUUGAGUUUCAGUCUUGCGACCGUACUCCCCAGGCGGAAUGCUUAAUGUGUUAACUUCGGCACUACGGGCAUUGUUGCCCCUAACACCUAGCAUUCAUCGUUUACGGCGUGGACUAC